This 115-nucleotide ribosomal RNA is filed under the name Mediterraneibacter gnavus. RNAcentral's name for it is "[Ruminococcus] gnavus partial 16S ribosomal RNA". It matches the Rfam family "Bacterial small subunit ribosomal RNA", at positions 488 to 603 of the family's 1533-position model. Lineage: Bacteria; Bacillati; Bacillota; Clostridia; Lachnospirales; Lachnospiraceae. The record is from RNAcentral.
AGCCCCGGCUAACUACGUGCCAGCAGCCGCGGUAAUACGUAGGGGGCAAGCGUUAUCCGGAUUUACUGGGUGUAAAGGGAGCGUAGACGGCAUGGCAAGCCAGAUGUGACAUUUU